This is a long non-coding RNA of Cynara cardunculus var. scolymus (artichoke), 901 nucleotides long. RefSeq lists it as uncharacterized. NCBI's taxonomy places the organism in Eukaryota, Viridiplantae, Streptophyta, Magnoliopsida, Asterales, Asteraceae. The transcript is spliced from 2 exons. The record is from RefSeq and is a predicted model, not a curated record.
UAUCUCUUAUUUCAAAUCGUCGCCUUCCUGCUCUACCCAUCCUUCCUGCUCUACCCAUCUGUUUGCGCUCGACUUCCCUGGAUAAGCUCUCGAUCUCUCAUAUCUCAUCUCUCAACUCUCAAGCUCUCAAUCUGUCUCACAAGCUCUCGAUCUCUCAUCUCUCAUCUCUCAAGCUCUCAAUCUGUCUCACAAGCUCUCGAUAUCUCAUCUCUCAAGCUCUCGAUUUAAGCUUUGUUCGAGGGGACUUCUGCUACCGGAUCUCGUGCUUAUGCCCCUAAUUCAACCCGUGAGAGGACUACGAUUUCAUCAUCAUCAUUUACAUCCAAUAUCCACACUACUCAAGAUACUGAAAAUGAGGUGGAUGGAGAUGAGGAGAAAGGACCAACUGUCAAUAAAGCGAGCACAAUUCCGUCUAGACCAAAGAAGAAGAGUAAAACCAAGGUCGACAUGGAUGAAUUGGCUUUAGAAAUGAGGGGUGCACUUCAAACACUUGUUACACAACAAACCACACUUGUUGCACAACAAACUGGACUUGUUGCACAACAAACCUCAAACCUGAAUGCUUGUAUUGAACGGUUGGACACUCUUGGCCUUGAUAAAAGGAGUCCUCUUUAUGGUGCAACCAUUGACAUUUUUGGGCAGUCAACAUUAUUAAGAGAGACAUGGUUGAUGAUCCCUUCAGACGCUGAUAUAUUAACAUCAUGGAUUUCAAGGACGGCAAGACGAAUGGGGCUCAUGGAUUAGUUUUAGGAAUUUGAACAAGUUACUUCGUUAUGUGAUUUGUAUUUGAACAUGUUAUUUGCUUAUGUGUUUGAUAUUUGACAAUUUGGUUACAUGUUUUGGAUGUUGAACUAGUUGUUAUUUGGUAAUGCAUUUGAUAUCAAAGUUUACUUCUAUUUGA